UGGGGAAUAUUGGACAAUGGGCGAAAGCCUGAUCCAGCCAUGCCGCAUGAGUGAAGAAGGCCUUUGGGUUGUAAAGCUCUUUUAGUGAGGAAGAUAAUGACGGUACUCACAGAAGAAGUCCUGGCUAACUCCGUGCCAGCAGCCGCGGUAAUACGGAGAGGGCUCGCGUUAUUCGGAAUUAUUGGGCGUAAAGGGCGCGUAGGCUGGUUAAUAAGUUAAAAGUGAAAUCCCGAGGCUUAACCUCGGAAUUGCUUUUAAAACUAUUAAUCUAGAGAUUGAAAGAGGAUAGAGGAAUUCCUGAUGUAGAGGUAAAAUUCGUAAAUAUUAGGAGGAACACCAGUGGCGAAGGCGUCUAUCUGGUUCAAAUCUGACGCUGAAGCGCGAAGGCGUGGGGAGCAAACA
Molecule: ribosomal RNA, 402 nt
Filed under: uncultured bacterium
Lineage: Bacteria
Description: partial 16S ribosomal RNA
Rfam family: Bacterial small subunit ribosomal RNA
Source: RNAcentral